RNAcentral lists this ribosomal RNA (468 nucleotides) under uncultured bacterium. Its description in RNAcentral is "partial 16S ribosomal RNA". It matches the Rfam family "Bacterial small subunit ribosomal RNA", at positions 28 to 507 of the family's 1533-position model. The record is from RNAcentral.
GACGAACGCUGGCGGCGUGCUUAACACAUGCAAGUCGAACGGAAAGGCCCUGCUCUUGUGGGGUGCUCGAUUGGCGAACGGGUGAGUAACACGUGAGUAACCUGCCCUUGACUUUGGGAUAACUUCAGGAAACUGGGGCUAAUACCGGAUAGGAGCUCCUGCUGCACGGUGGGGGUUGGAAAGUUUCGGCGGUUGGGGAUGGACUCGCGGCUUAUCAGCUUGUUGGUGGGGUAGUGGCUUACCAAGGCUUUGACGGGUAGCCGGCCUGAGAGGGUGACCGGCCACAUUGGGACUGAGGUACGGCCCAGACUGCUACGGGAGGCAGCGGUGGGGAGUAUUGCACAAUGGGCGGAAGCCUGAUGCAGCAACGCCGCGUGCGGGAUGACGGCCUUCGGGUUGUAAACCGCUUUCGCCGGUGACGAAGCGUGAGUGACGGUAAUGGGUAAAGAAGCACCGGCUAACUACGUG